GGGGUUGUGGCCUAGCCCGGCAUGGCGACGGGCUCCAGCGGAUAGAUGAUGAACAACGGGUCUACUGAGAUCUGCCCGACGGGGCUGAUUGGUGAGGAGCCGUUGGAGCACUGAUAUGUGCUCAGAAUGCUGAAAAGCAUUUGUUCGGAGAGACCCGUCGAUCGUGAGUUCAAAUCUCACCAACCCCA
Molecule: transfer RNA, 188 nt
Filed under: Methanomethylovorans hollandica DSM 15978
Lineage: Archaea; Methanobacteriati; Methanobacteriota; Methanomicrobia; Methanosarcinales; Methanosarcinaceae
Rfam family: Small nucleolar RNA sR3 (bases 42-116)
Source: Rfam by way of RNAcentral